CUUGUCCUACGGGGCGCAGCAGUAGGGAAUCUUCCACAAUGGGCGAAAGCCUGAUGGAGCAACGCCGCGUGGGUGAAGAAGGUCUUCGGAUCGUAAAACCCUGUUGUUAGAGAAGAAAGUGCGUGAGAGUAACUGUUCACGUUUCGACGGUAUCUAACCAGAAAGCCACGGCUAACUACGUGCCAGCAGCCGCGGUAAUACGUAGGUGGCAAGCGUUAUCCGGAUUUAUUGGGCGUACAGGGAACGCAGGCGGUCUUUUAAGGCUGAUGUGAAAGCCUUCGGCUUAACCGGAGUGUGGCAUUGGA
This 305-nucleotide ribosomal RNA is filed under the name uncultured bacterium. Its description in RNAcentral is "bacterial SSU rRNA". It matches the Rfam family "Bacterial small subunit ribosomal RNA", at positions 333 to 630 of the family's 1533-position model. The record is from RNAcentral.